UACAGAGGGGGCAAGCGUUGUUCGGAAUUACUGGGCGUAAAGGGCGCGUAGGCGGCCAACUAAGUCAGACGUGAAAUCCCCAGGCUCAACCUGGGAACUGCGUCUGAUACUGGAUGGCUUGAGUUCGGGAGAGGGAAGUGGAAUUCCACGUGUAGCAGUGAAAUGCGUAGAGAUGUGGAGGAACACCGAUGGCGAAGGCAGCCCCCUGGGCCAAUACUGACGCUCAUGCACGAAAGCGUGGGGAGCAAACAGG
Molecule: ribosomal RNA, 253 nt
Filed under: uncultured bacterium
Lineage: Bacteria
Description: partial 16S ribosomal RNA
Rfam family: Bacterial small subunit ribosomal RNA
Source: RNAcentral